UCUGGGGCAGGGUGUGAGUACAGAGAAGCCCUUGGCUCAGA
Molecule: non-coding RNA, 41 nt
Organism: Chelonia mydas (Green sea turtle)
Lineage: Eukaryota; Metazoa; Chordata; Testudines; Cheloniidae
Source: Rfam